GUGGGGAAUAUUGGACAAUGGGCGGAAGCCUGAUCCAGCCAUGCCGCGUGUGUGAAGAAGGCCUUUUGGUUGUAAAGCACUUUAAGCGAGGAGGAGGCUCCUUUAGUUAAUACCUAAAGAGAGUGGACGUUACUCGCAGAAUAAGCACCGGCUAACUCUGUGCCAGCAGCCGCGGUAAUACAGAGGGUGCGAGCGUUAAUCGGAUUUACUGGGCGUAAAGCGUGCGUAGGCGGCUUUUUUAAGUCGGAUGUGAAAUCCCUGAGCUUAACUUAGGAAUUGCAUUCGAUACUGUGAAGCUAGAGUAUGGGAGAGGAUGGUAGAAUUCCAGGUGUAGCGGUGAAAUGCGUAGAGAUCUGGAGGAAUACCGAUGGCGAAGGCAGCCAUCUGGCCUAAUACUGACGCUGAGGUACGAAAGCAUGGGGAGCAGACAGGAUUAGAUACCCGAGUAGUCC
This 452-nucleotide ribosomal RNA is filed under the name uncultured bacterium. RNAcentral describes it as "partial 16S ribosomal RNA". It matches the Rfam family "Bacterial small subunit ribosomal RNA", at positions 354 to 796 of the family's 1533-position model. The record is from RNAcentral.